UUUCCUACGGGAGGCAGCAGUGGGGGAUAUUGGACAAUGGGGGGAACCCUGAUCCAGCGACGCCGCGUGAGUGAAGAAGUAUUUCGGUAUGUAAAGCUCUGUCAGCAGGGAAGAAAGCAAUGACGGUACCUGACCAAGAAGCCCCGGCUAACUACGUGCCAGCAGCCGCGGUAAUACGUAGGGGGCAAGCGUUAUCCGGAAUUACUGGGGGUAAAGGGAGCGUAGACGGUUGUGCAAGUCUGGAGUGAAAGGCGGGGGCCCCACCCCCGGUCUGCUCUGGAAACUGU
This 287-nucleotide ribosomal RNA is filed under the name uncultured bacterium. RNAcentral describes it as "partial 16S ribosomal RNA". It matches the Rfam family "Bacterial small subunit ribosomal RNA", at positions 335 to 636 of the family's 1533-position model. The record is from RNAcentral.